GCAUUUAGCGCACUACUCGAUUCGGUAUACAACAAUUGAAACAUUAUGAAAGGUUUCGUGAUUUUGUUCCUGAGUUGCUUGCUAUCAGCCGCACUCGCUGAAAUUACAAUCAUUACUAAGUCAGAUAUUGCUGGAUACGAAAAUCUGAACUCAAACACGAUUGGAACAAAUGAAAAAUCUGUUGAACAAUCGAAUGAUGUUGUGGCCGUCGUUUUCAACGAUCAAAUACCUAAAGAACCAACAAAGGAUGUUAACAACUUAACCUGUUCUUGGGCCCAAUGCAUUGUAAGAUGUGCUCCACAAAUUGGCUUGUGCGUUAGAGGAGCGUGCAUCUGUAAAUAAGUUAUAUCUAACAAUACACCGGAAAAUUGUGCCAAUUAAAUUUCUUUUAUCUUUUAUUUUUAAUGUAUGAAAUGUAUGAAUUACUUAAAUUUUGAAUUUAUGUGUGUAUUUGUCGUAUUAUUCUAAAAUAAAAUGUGAAAGAACCAGAAACUGGUUCAGAAUAAA
This is a long non-coding RNA of Aethina tumida (small hive beetle), 507 nucleotides long. RefSeq lists it as uncharacterized. The record is from RefSeq and is a predicted model, not a curated record. NCBI's taxonomy places the organism in Eukaryota, Metazoa, Arthropoda, Insecta, Coleoptera, Nitidulidae. The transcript is spliced from 4 exons.